This 299-nucleotide signal recognition particle RNA is filed under the name Saimiri boliviensis boliviensis (Bolivian squirrel monkey). Its description in RNAcentral is "Metazoan signal recognition particle RNA (ENSSBOG00000000960.1)". It matches the Rfam family "Metazoan signal recognition particle RNA". From Rfam's summary of the family: The signal recognition particle (SRP) is a universally conserved ribonucleoprotein. It is involved in the co-translational targeting of proteins to membranes. Lineage: Eukaryota; Metazoa; Chordata; Mammalia; Primates; Cebidae. The record is from RNAcentral.
GCCUGGCACGGUGGCCCGUGUCUGUAGUCCUAGCUACUCAGGAGGCUGAGGCUGGAGAAUCCCUUGAGUUCAGGAGUUCUGGGCUGUAGUGUGCUAUACCAAUCGGGCAUCCACACUAAGUUCAGUAUCAAUAUGAUGACCUCCCGGGAGUGGGGGACCACCAGGUUGCCUAAGGAGGAGUGAACCAGCCCAGGUCAGAAAUGGAGCAGGUUAAAAAUCCCGUGCUGAUCAGUAGUGGGAUUGCGCCCAUGAAUAGCCACUGCACUCCAGCCUGGGCAACAUAGUGAGACCCUGCCUCU